CGCAUCUGUGCAUGCAGCAUAUCAAUAAGCGGAGGAAAAGAAAGCUAACAAGGAUUCCCCUUAGUAACGGCGAGUGAAGCGGGAAGAGCUCAAAUUUGAAAUCUUGAAAGGUCACCUUUCACGAAUUGUAGUUUAAAGAAGUGUUUUCUGUUACGAUCGUAAUAUAAGUUCUUUGGAAUAGGACAUCACAGAGGGUGAGAAUCCCGUCUAUGAUUGCGAUUUGUAGCUUUGUGAUACACUUUCAAAGAGUCGGGUUGUUUGGGAAUGCAGCCCAAAACGGGAGGUAAAUUUCUUCUAAGGCUAAAUAUUGGCGAGAGACCGAUAGCGAACAAGUACCGUGAGGGAAAGAUGAAAAGAACUUUGAAAAGAGAGUUAAAUAGUACGUGAAAUUGUCAAAAGGGAAGCGUUUAACACCAGUGUUGUUUUCUGAAAAUCAACCUCUGUUAGCUUUAUGCAUGUUUGUUUAGACCUAAUCAGCUAUCUUGCAUGUUCUAUUGUUUGCAGUGGUGCACUUUUCAGUCUACAGGUCAACAUCAGUUUUUUUUACCGUAAAAAAGUUAAAGAAAGGUAGCUCAUGGCUCCGGUCGUGAGUGUUAUAGUCUUUUUCCUAUGCGGUAGGAGAGACUGAGGUCUGCAGUGUAGGCUAUUUGGCUAGAUACUCAGGUGCUAUGUGAUACCAUUUCAUAAACAACUUGUUGACUAUGUUUUGUCUAUUGCAUACUCGCUUGUACUAUCAUACCUACGCUUAGGAUGUUGACGAUCAGCUGAGCGCG
Molecule: ribosomal RNA, 773 nt
Filed under: uncultured Neocallimastigales
Lineage: Eukaryota; Fungi; Neocallimastigomycota; Neocallimastigomycetes; Neocallimastigales
Description: partial large subunit ribosomal RNA
Rfam family: Eukaryotic large subunit ribosomal RNA
Source: RNAcentral